ACAUGUCUUUAAGAUUAUAAUUUAAAGUCUAAUYUGCUCCAUGAAUUUAAUUAAAUAGCUGCAGUAUUUUAACUGUACAAAGGUAGCAUAAUCAAUAGUUUUUUAAUUAAAAGCUGGAAUGAAUGAUUUGAUAAGGUAAAUAUUGUCUCAAAUUUAAAAGUGUUAGAAUUUUUUUUUUAGUAAAAAUACUAAAUUGAGUUUGAAAGACGAGAAGACCCUAUAGAUUUUUAUAUUUUAUAUUUAAUUAAUUUAAAUUAAUUUAUAUUAUUAGGUAAAAAAAUAUUUGGUUGGGGAAAUUAUUAAAUUAAUUAAAUUUUAAUUUAUAAUAAACAAUAAUUAUUGACUAAUUUGAUCCUUAAAGUUAAGAAUAUAAGAAUAAAUUACCUUAGGGAUAACAGCGUAAUUUUUUUAGAGAGAUCAUAUUAAUAAAAAAGUUUGCGACCUCGAUGUUGAAUUAAGAUUUAAUUUUAAUGGAGAAAUUAAAAAUUUUUGGUCUGUUCGACCAUUAAAAUCUUACGUGAUCU
RNAcentral lists this ribosomal RNA (524 nucleotides) under Echthrus reluctator. RNAcentral describes it as "partial 16S large subunit ribosomal RNA". The stretch from base 391 to 524 matches the Rfam family "Archaeal large subunit ribosomal RNA", at positions 2544 to 2677 of the family's 2987-position model. The record is from RNAcentral. Lineage: Eukaryota; Metazoa; Arthropoda; Insecta; Hymenoptera; Ichneumonidae.